GAUGAACGCUGGCGGCGUGCCUAAUACAUGCAAGUCGAGCGAACAGACGAGGAGCUUGCUCCUCUGACGUUAGCGGCGGACGGGUGAGUAACACGUGUAUAACCUACCUAUAAGACUGGGAUAACUUCGGGAAACCGGAGCUAAUACCGGAUAAUAUAUUGAACCGCAUGGUUCAAUAGUGAAAGACGGUUUUGCUGUCACUUAUAGAUGGAUCCGCGCCGCAUUAGCUAGUUGGUAAGGUAACGGCUUACCACGGCAACGAUGCGUAGCCGACCUGAGAGGGUGAUCGGCCACACGGGAACUGAGACACGGUCCAGACUCCUACGGGAGGCAGCAGUAGGGAAUCUUCCGCAAUGGGCGAAAGCUUGACGGAGCAACGCCGCGUGAGUGAUGAAGGUCUUCGGAUCGUAAAACUCUGUUAUUAGGGAAGAACAAAUGUGUAAGUAACUAUGCACGUCUUGACGGUACCUAAUAAGAAAGCAACGGCUAACUACGUG
Molecule: ribosomal RNA, 497 nt
Filed under: uncultured bacterium
Lineage: Bacteria
Description: partial 16S ribosomal RNA
Rfam family: Bacterial small subunit ribosomal RNA
Source: RNAcentral